Molecule: long non-coding RNA, 4841 nt
Filed under: Homo sapiens (human)
Lineage: Eukaryota; Metazoa; Chordata; Mammalia; Primates; Hominidae
Description: HSALNT0167916
Source: RNAcentral
UGUCCAGCAUCAUGUGGAAGAGACUAUCAUUUCUCCAUUUAAUUUCCUUUUCACUAUUAGUGAAAAUAAGUGUAUGUGUCUAUUUCUAAAUUUUCUCUUCUUUCGCUUUGAUUUACUUAUUCAUCUUUAUUUCAGUUCUACAUUUUCUAGAAUAUUUCAGUUUUAAAACAAAUUUUGAAGUCAAGUAAAGUAAGUCCUCUAACUUUGCAUUUCAUUUUCCAAAGUCAUUUCAACUCUUCUAUAAUUUUAGACUCAUCUCAUCAAUUUGUAGAAGAAAAACUGUAGGAAUUUUUAUUGGAAUAGUAUUGAGUUUAUCAGUCAACUUGAGGCUAACAGACAUUGCAACAAUAUCAAGCCUUCUGAUCCACUGCACAGAGCUUCCUAUCCUACAUGAUUGUCUAUUGUAAUGCCAAAUUACAAGCAAUGGAGUCUCACUGUGUUGCCCAGGCUGGAGUGCUGUGGCAUGAUCUCAGCUCACUGCCAUCUCUGCCUCUUGAGUUCAAGCGAUUCUCCUGCCUCAGCUUCCCAAGUAGCUGGGAUUACAGGCGCACGCCACCACGCCCCGCUAGUUUUUGUAUUUUCAGUAGAGACGGGGUUUCACCAUGUUGGCCAGACUGGUCUGUAACUCCAGACUUCAGGUGAUCUGCCCACCUUGGCCUCCCAAAGUGCUGGGAUUACAGGCCUGAGCCACCAUGCCCAGCCAAUUUCCAUAUAUUUUUUAUACUGGGAUUUCAGAGAGUAAUUUCCUCUUCAUGUGUAACCAGUUAUGUGAAUUAAAACAGAUUCAGCCUUCUUUUACGGUUGUGAAAAACUGUAAUUCUUCCUCUCAAGUUCCCCCUUGGAAGGAGGGAUAUUUCAGGCUCAACAUUGUCCAGUCUGACCAUCGUUAGAGAGAAAGGCCUUAAAAUGUAUUUUCUAAAAGCUUUUCUAUAACUAAUCAACUUAAGUGUCAGUUGGGUGUCUGAGAUCUGUAAGACUUUGAGAUUAUUGCUCCAAAUUCCAUAGGACACUAAUCUCUUUCUUCUUAAUACUGUUUUUACUAAGAUUCAAGCAUAAGGGGCUUAUAUCCAAGGGGAUUUUUCCUAAGAAAAUGUAAAUAUAUAAAUAUAUGUACAGAAAUUAUUAAGAGUAGAAACAUUUGAGGAAUAGUGUGUCUAAUAGCAUAUACUCGGUGUUUUCCCCAUGAGUAAAUGAAAAAUGUUCAACAUAUAUGAAAAGAAUAAAGUGAAAAGUAAGAUCUUCAAAGAGGAUUAUUCGCUGCUGGAAAGUAAGUAAAAAGCAUCACAGAAGAGGCCAGACUCUCUGGCUCAUACCUGUAAUCUCAACAAUUUGGGGGGCCAAGGUAAGAGGAUCACUUGAGCCUAGGAGUAUGAGACCAGCCUGGGCAAUAUGGCAAGAUCUUCAAGACCUUGGCUCUACAUAAAAAAAAAAAAAAAAAAAAAAAAGCACGCUGAGCAUGCUCCUUGCUCCUCUGGUCCUAGGGAGACUGAGGUGGAAGGAUUGCUUGAGCCCAGGAAGUAGGGGCUGCAGCUGUGAUUGCAUCACUGCCCUUCAGCCUGGGAGACAGUGCAAGGCCUUGUCUCAAAAAAAAAAAAAAAAAAAAAAAAAAAAAAAUCAAGGAAGAGGACCCUUUUGCUUCAAAUAAGCAAAAAGAAAAGAAUAAAGUGAAUUUGUUUUCCUAUAUGGUAAUUGUGAAUUUUUCUAUUCCAUAAGGUAAUAGGGUCAUAAAUGCUGCUAGCUGAUGAGGCUGGGCCACUGCAACACUUAGGUGACAUAUCCAUUAGUUGCAGGUACUGCUAGAACCAGUGUUACUAGUACUGCCACCAUCUGCCAGUAACUGAGAACCAACACUCUUCCCAGUACUGCACCAAGAGGAACCUAAUGCAUAUUUCAUAAGCUUUCUAGGUAGAUAGAUGUCCAUGUUCCAUGGAGUGGUCCACCAUUUGCUAGCUCUAUGUCCUUGUGAUAUUCCUUUAUUUUCUCUACUUCUCACUUUUUCAUGUGUAAAAUGAGUCUCCUGGUGCUAUUCAUCUUAUAGGUUGUUUUCAGUACAGUUGGUCUCUGACAUACCAUGUUUUGACUUACAAUUUUUCAACUUUACAGUGGAUUUAUCAGGACAUAAGUCCAUCAUAAGUCAAAGAGCAUCUCUAUUAUGUAAAGUGUGUAUCACAAUGCCUAGAACACAAUAAGCUCUUGGUGAAGAGUUUUCUAUUAUUAUUCUUUUUAGUGUUUUCGUUAAUAUUGUUGUUAGUUUCUCUUUCUUACCUAUGAAAACUACAUGAGAGAUACAGGACUUUGGUGACUUGAAAAGCUAAAUCACUAAAUAAGUGUCAUCAUAAAGAAUGAUAUCCAGAGAAAGGAUUAUGAGAAGAUGGUAGAGUAGGAAGCACCAGGAAUCCAUCUACUCACCUACAUAAAAAUUACAGUGGAAGAAUCUGUUUGAUGUAAAUAUUUAGAACUAUUAAAGGCUUUCAACUUCCAGAAGAUUUUAGUUGUAUAUUGUGAUUAAUUUUGUUCAAUUGCAGCUCUCAGUGCAGUAGCAACUACCUGUCUAUCUGUAGCCACCGCCUCCCCAGCCUCCCACUCCCUACUCCUCACAGUCAUAGAGGAGGGCAUCCAUUGUCUGUUGCACCUGCCCCCAUUUGUUGAUUGUUGCAAGCCCCUCCCCUCUGGCUGAAGUGACUUCCUGGAGGUUUACAGGGCCAGUGAUUUUCAUUUUCACUUCAUGUUCUCUUUUUUCCUUUAUGAGAGUCAGACAUUGUUAAAGAUUAAGAUAUUAAAAAGCAACCACAUAUGUGCAGAAAUUAGAAAGCCACCACAAUUGCUCAAGGAAAGGUGCAGGCUCAGCAAAGACCUAAACAGCCUCAAAUUUAUACCUCAAGUUCAUCAUCAGCACAGAGAAAACCAGCAGCACAAUUAAAUUUUUAAAAAAGCAAACAUCAAAAAAAAAAAAAAACAUCCAAGUGAAAAAGAAUAAAAUUGGACCCGUAAUUAACACCAUAUAUAAAAAUUAACUCAAAAUUAAUGUAAGACCUAAAUAUAAGAUCAGAAGUGAUAAAAGUCUUAGAAGAAAGUGAAGCACAGGGCACAUCUUUAUGUUGAGAAUUCCUAAAACCCAAGAACAAAAACAAAAUAAAAUUUAUAAAUGAGGAAGAUACUUGAGUAGACAUUUCUCCAAAGAAGAUAUACAAAGGAUCAAGUAUUAGGGACAUUAGGCACAUGAUUAGGGAACAUCCCUAAUCAUUAGGGAAGUAGAAAUCAAAACUACAAUGGGAUACCCUCUCGCACCCAUUAGAACGGCUGCUAUCCGAAACAAAAACAGAUAAAAAGUGUUGGUGAGGAGGUGAACAAAUUACAAUACUUGUGCAUCGUUGGUAGGAAUAUAAAAUGGUACAACCACCGUGGAAGGCAGUAUGAUAGUUCCUCAAAAAAUUAAAAAUAGAAUUAACAUAAAAUCCAGGAGUUCCAGUUGAAGGUAUAUACUCAAAAGAAUUUGAAGAGAUAUUUUGAAGAGAUAUUUGUAGAAUUAUAUUCACAGUAACAUUAGCUAAUACGUAGAAUCAAACCAAGUGUCCAUUGACAGAUGGAUGAAUAAGUAAAAUAUGGUACAUCCAAUGGAAUAUUAUUUAGCUUUAAAGGAAGGAAAUUCUGGCAUGUUUACAAGAUGGAUGAACCUUAAGGACAUUAUUCUAUGUGAAAUGAGCUGGCACUAAAGGACAAAUGCUGUAUGAUUCCACUUGUGUGAGGUAUUUAGAGUAAUCAAAUUCAUAGAGACUGUGGGUAGCAAGCCACCCAGGUGCCGAGGCAAGAGACCGAAGGCACAAGCUGUUCCAGUAUAAUAAAAUAUAUAGAAUCAGAAUAGUUAUACUAGAAAUAGAUUAUAGAUAUGAUUAUGAAUAUUAUUAAUAAUUAGUUUGUAGCAUUACUCUUUACUCCAAUAUUAUAGUAAUAUUUCUUCUACAAUUAUAACCUAGGAAAAACCAGGCCAUGCAGAGAUAGGAGGUGAAGGGACACGGUGAGAAGUGACCAGAAGAUGAGUGUGAGCCCUCUGUUAUGCCCGGGCAGGGCCACUAGAGGGCUCCCUGGUCUAGCGGUAACACCAGUGCCCGAGAAGGCACCUGCUACUUAGCGGACCUUGGUCUAGGGAUAGCACCAGUGCCUGGGAAGGCACCCGUUACUUAGCAGACUGGGAAAGGGAGUCUCCCUUUCCCCGGGGGAGUUACAGAAGAAUCUGCUCCAUCACUUCUUGUGGAAGGCCUGACAUCGGUCAGGCCCACCCACAGCCAUCCGGAGGCCUAAACGUGUCUCUGUGAUGCUGUGCUUCAGCGGUCACGCUCCUGGUCCACUUUCAUGUUCUGCCCUGUACACCUGGCUCUGCCUUCUAGAUAGUAGUAGCAGAAUUAGUGAAAGUAUUAAAGUAUUUGAUCUUUCCGAGAAAUACAUAAAAGAAAUAAUGAUGUAAGCUGUCCCCUCUCUCCACCUUGGCUACCAAAUAGGGAAGGGACCCCUGUCUGGUAGACACGUGACUCGCAUGACCUUACCCAUCAUUGGAGAUAACUCACAUUCCUUACCCUCUUGCCUUGUAUACAAUAAAUAACAGCGCGGCCAGGCAUUCGGGGCCACUACCGGCCUCCGUGCCUUGGUGGUAGUGGUCCCCCGGGCCCAGCUGUCUUUUCUUCUAUCUCUUUGUCUUGUGUCUUUAUUUCUAUGAUCUCUCGUCUCCAUACACGAAGAGAAAAACCCACAGGUCCUGUAGGACUGGACCCUACAGAGACAGAAAGUAGAAUGGUAGCUUUCCAGGGCUAUGGGAAUGGGGAAAUCGGGAGUUAUUGUUCAAUGAA